This 678-nucleotide ribosomal RNA is filed under the name Lactobacillus delbrueckii. RNAcentral describes it as "bacterial SSU rRNA". It matches the Rfam family "Bacterial small subunit ribosomal RNA", at positions 56 to 703 of the family's 1533-position model. The record is from RNAcentral. Lineage: Bacteria; Bacillati; Bacillota; Bacilli; Lactobacillales; Lactobacillaceae.
UGCAAGUCGAGCGAGCUGAAUUCAAAGAUCCCUUCGGGGUGAUUUGUUGGACGCUAGCGGCGGAUGGGUGAGUAACACGUGGGCAAUCUGCCCUAAAGACUGGGAUACCACUUGGAAACAGGUGCUAAUACCGGAUAACAACAUGAAUCGCAUGAUUCAAGUUUGAAAGGCGGCGCAAGCUGUCACUUUAGGAUGAGCCCGCGGCGCAUUAGCUAGUUGGUGGGGUAAAGGCCUACCAAGGCAAUGAUGCGUAGCCGAGUUGAGAGACUGAUCGGCCACAUUGGGACUGAGACACGGCCCAAACUCCUACGGGAGGCAGCAGUAGGGAAUCUUCCACAAUGGACGCAAGUCUGAUGGAGCAACGCCGCGUGAGUGAAGAAGGUCUUCGGAUCGUAAAGCUCUGUUGUUGGUGAAGAAGGAUAGAGGCAGUAACUGGUCUUUAUUUGACGGUAAUCAACCAGAAAGUCACGGCUAACUACGUGCCAGCAGCCGCGGUAAUACGUAGGUGGCAAGCGUUGUCCGGAUUUAUUGGGCGUAAAGCGAGCGCAGGCGGAAUGAUAAGUCUGAUGUGAAAGCCCACGGCUCAACCGUGGAACUGCAUCGGAAACUGUCAUUCUUGAGUGCAGAAGAGGAGAGUGGAACUCCAUGUGUAGCGGUGGAAUGCGUAGAUAUAUGGAA